RNAcentral lists this ribosomal RNA (436 nucleotides) under uncultured Glomus. Its description in RNAcentral is "SSU rRNA". It matches the Rfam family "Eukaryotic small subunit ribosomal RNA", at positions 569 to 1006 of the family's 1831-position model. The record is from RNAcentral. Lineage: Eukaryota; Fungi; Glomeromycota; Glomeromycetes; Glomerales; Glomeraceae.
AGCAGCCGCGGUAAUUCCAGCUCCAAUAGCGUAUAUUAAAGUUGUUGCAGUUAAAAAGCUCGUAGUUGAAUUUCGGGAUCAAUACGUCGGUCGUGCUUUCGGGUACGUACUGGCGUCAUUGGUUUCUCCUUUCUGACGAACCAUGAUGUCAUUAAUUUGGUGUCGUGGGGAAUCAGGACUGUUACUUUGAAAAAAUUAGAGUGUUUAAAGCAGGCUUACGCUUGAAUACAUUAGCAUGGAAUAAUGAAAUAGGACGUUUGAUUCUAUUUUGUUGGUUUCUAGGAUUGACGUAAUGAUUAAUAGGGAUAGGUUGGGGGCAUUAGUAUUCAAUUGUCAGAGGUGAAAUUCUUGGAUUUAUUGAAGACUAACUACUGACGAAAGCAUUUGCCAAGGAUUGUUUUCAUUAAUCAAGAACGAAAGUUAGGGAUCGAAGACG